Molecule: small RNA, 1088 nt
Filed under: Pongo abelii (Sumatran orangutan)
Lineage: Eukaryota; Metazoa; Chordata; Mammalia; Primates; Hominidae
Description: retained intron
Source: RNAcentral
AAUCUCGGAAGUGCGCGCGGCCCCGUCCCCGAAAGUCGGCUGGGCUCCGCUCCAAUCCCGGAAGUGCGCGCGGCCCCGCCCCCGCCGGUUCGCGUCUCUCUGCUGCGGCGCGGGGACCGCUGUGCUCUCGACCGCUCCUCCUGUAGAGAGUGGUGCUGCCAUCUCGGGAUGUACCUGCAGGUAGAGACCCGCACCAGCUCCCGCCUCCAUCUGAAGAGGGCUCCAGGCAUCCGGUCCUGGUCCCUGCUGGUUGGAAUCUUGUCGAUUGGCCUGGCUGCUGCCUACUACAGCGGAGAUAGCCUGGGCUGGAAGCUCUUCUACGUCACAGGCUGCCUGUUUGUGGCUGUGCAGAACUUGGAGGACUGGGAGGAAGCCGUCUUCGACAAGAGCACAGGGAAGGUUGUUUUGAAGACGUUCAGCCUCUACAAGAAGCUGCUGACUCUUUUCAGAGCUGGCCACGACCAGGGUGAGUUGUGGGGAGCGUGGGGACAUGGGACACAGUGGGCCACAGAGGCGGCACACUUGGGCGUCUGGGUCUGGGUGACCCAUGGGGCCUAGAGGGGGGCCUGGAAGCGCCUUUAGUCCAAGCUCGCCUGCUUGGUGACCAGGGUUGUGUCCUGCCCGCUGGACGCAGGAUCCCAUGGAUACGCCCCACCUGCUCACCUGCUCAGCGGGGUCCUAGAGCCUCCUGGGUUCUUUAGAGGUUUGGCCCCUGGGGAGAGUGGGAGGAACAGGGGUCUGGAGGAGCAAGGGUCUGGCAGAGCAGGGGUCUGGCCCGCCCGGGCUCGGGCAGCCUCUGUUUAGCUGCGUUCUCCCGCCUGCCUGGCAGCCACUUGUCCCCAGGUGCAGUCUGGCCCCAGUGGCAGGUCACAGGACGGGGCAGGGAGAGCCAUGGCAGCCCGCGGGCGUUCUGGAGUGGGGGUCUGGAGUGGGGCCACCUGGUUUCUUGUGGGCCUUGGCGCUGCUCCAGCUUUCCUAUGGGUUCUACUGGGCCUGCAGUAGGGGCUGGAUGGUCCGAGGAACUCCCCACCCUUGAGCCUGGGCACUGGCCCAGCUGUGGUCAGUACCAUUUUCCUGUAGAUGCUGCC